GACGAACGCUGGCGGCGGGCUUAACACAUGCAAGUCGAACGGUGAAGCUCCAGCUUGCUGGAGUGGAUCAGUGGCGAACGGGUGAGUAACACGUGAGCAACCUGCCCCUGACUCUGGAAUAAGCGCUGGAAACGGCGUCUAAUACUGGAUACGAGAAGGGUCCGCAUGGGCACUUUCUGGAAAGUUUUUCGGUUGGGGAUGGGCUCGCGGCCUAUCAGCUUGUUGGUGAGGUAAUGGCUCACCAAGGCGACGACGGGUAGCCGGCCUGAGAGGGCGACCGGCCACACUGGGACUGAGACACGGCCCAGACUCCUACGGGAGGCAGCAGUGGGGAAUAUUGCACAAUGGGCGAAAGCCUGAUGCAGCGACGCCGCGUGAGGGAUGACGGCCUUCGGGUUGUAAACCUCUUUCAGCAGGGAAGAAGCGAAAGUGACGGUACCUGCAGAAGAAGCACCGGCUAACUACGUG
This 468-nucleotide ribosomal RNA is filed under the name uncultured bacterium. RNAcentral describes it as "partial 16S ribosomal RNA". It matches the Rfam family "Bacterial small subunit ribosomal RNA", at positions 28 to 507 of the family's 1533-position model. The record is from RNAcentral.